GCCUAACCAUAACACAACAAUAAAAUCACAUAUUGUUCGCCAAAUAACUACGAGUAAAAACUUAAAAUUUAAAAGACUUGACGGUACCCCACAACAACCUAGAGGAGCCUGUUCAGUAACCGAUACUCCACGAUUAAUCCAACCUUCCCUAGCCUACCAGUCUAUAUACCGCCGUCGCCAGCCUACCUUAUGAAAGAAACAAAGUAAGCCAAACAGCCACACACUAACACGACAGGUCGAGGUGUAACUCAUGGGGAGGACUAGAAUGGGCUACAUUAUCUAAUUCAGAUAACACGGAUAAACUAUGAAACAAGAAACUAAAGGCGGAUUUAGCAGUACACUAUGAACAAUAAUACCUAGUCGAAAUUAGCGCAAUGGGGUGCGUACACACCGCCCGUCAUCCCUGUCAACUUGACCAAAACAUUCAUAAACACAAACACUAAACCUAAAGCAGGGCAAGUCGUAACACGGUAAGCGUACUGGAAAGUGCGCUUAGAAA
RNAcentral lists this ribosomal RNA (499 nucleotides) under Lycodon rufozonatus (red-banded snake). RNAcentral's name for it is "partial 12S ribosomal RNA". It matches the Rfam family "Bacterial small subunit ribosomal RNA", at positions 875 to 1520 of the family's 1533-position model. Lineage: Eukaryota; Metazoa; Chordata; Lepidosauria; Squamata; Colubridae. The record is from RNAcentral.